RNAcentral lists this ribosomal RNA (434 nucleotides) under uncultured bacterium. RNAcentral describes it as "partial 16S ribosomal RNA". It matches the Rfam family "Bacterial small subunit ribosomal RNA", at positions 29 to 507 of the family's 1533-position model. The record is from RNAcentral.
AGCGAACGCUGGCGGCAGGCCUAACACAUGCAAGUCGAACGAACCUUUCGGGGUUAGUGGCGGACGGGUGAGUAACACGUGGGAACGUGCCUUUAGGUUCGGAAUAACUCAGGGAAACUUGUGCUAAUACCGAAUGUGCCCUUCGGGGGAAAGAUUAAUCGCCUUUAGAGCGGCCCGCGUCUGAUUAGCUAGUUGGUUGAGGUAAUGGCUCACCAAGGCGACGAUCAGUAGCUGGUCUGAGAGGAUGAUCAGCCACAUUGGGACUGAGACACGGCCUAAUCUCCUACGGGAGGCAGCAGUGGGGAAUCUUGCGCAAUGGGCGAAAGCCUGACGCAGCCAUGCCGCGUGAAUGAUGAAGGUCUUAGGAUUGUAAAAUUCUUUCACCGGGGACGAUAAUGACGGUACCCGGAGAAGAAGCCCCGGCUAACUUCGUG